This 254-nucleotide ribosomal RNA is filed under the name uncultured bacterium. RNAcentral's name for it is "partial 16S ribosomal RNA". It matches the Rfam family "Bacterial small subunit ribosomal RNA", at positions 524 to 776 of the family's 1533-position model. The record is from RNAcentral.
UACGAAGGGGGCUAGCGUCGCUCGGAAUCACUGGGCGUAAAGCGCACGUAGGUGGGUCAUUUAGUCAGGGGUGAAAUCCUGGAGCUCAACUCCAGAACUGCCUUUGAUACUGAUGAUCUUCGAGUCCGGGAGAGGUGGGUGGAACUGCGAGUGUAGAGGUGAAAUUCGUAGAUAUUCGCAAGAACACCAGUGGCGAAGGCGGCUCACUGGCCCGGUACUGACACUGAGGUGCGAAAGCGUGGGGAGCAAACAGG